This 507-nucleotide ribosomal RNA is filed under the name Salmonella enterica. RNAcentral describes it as "partial 23S ribosomal RNA". It matches the Rfam family "Bacterial large subunit ribosomal RNA", at positions 686 to 1191 of the family's 2925-position model. The record is from RNAcentral. RNAcentral also lists the same sequence under 1 other name. Lineage: Bacteria; Pseudomonadati; Pseudomonadota; Gammaproteobacteria; Enterobacterales; Enterobacteriaceae.
AAUUGGGCGUUAAGUUGCAGGGUAUAGACCCGAAACCCGGUGAUCUAGCCAUGGGCAGGUUGAAGGUUGGGUAACACUAACUGGAGGACCGAACCGACUAAUGUUGAAAAAUUAGCGGAUGACCUGUGGCUGGGGGUGAAAGGCCAAUCAAACCGGGAGAUAGCUGGUUCUCCCCGAAAGCUAUUUAGGUAGCGCCUCGUGAAUUCAUCUCCGGGGGUAGAGCACUGUUUCGGCUAGGGGGCCAUCCCGGCUUACCAACCCGAUGCAAACUGCGAAUACCGGAGAAUGUUAUCACGGGAGACACACGGCGGGUGCUAACGUCCGUCGUGAAGAGGGAAACAACCCAGACCGCCAGCUAAGGUCCCAAAGUCAUGGUUAAGUGGGAAACGAUGUGGGAAGGCCCAGACAGCCAGGAUGUUGGCUUAGAAGCAGCCAUCAUUUAAAGAAAGCGUAAUAGCUCACUGGUCGAGUCGGCCUGCGCGGAAGAUGUAACGGGGCUAAACCAUG